AUGACUGGCCAACAAACAGUUCAAAAUUAUCUUUUGAGAAGUUUUGUGUUCACUAAGACUGUUAAGACAAAUGCGCGGACUGAAGCUGAGAUAACACUGCUUGAGAACAAUAUCAUUGUUUACAAAUUUGUGCAAGAACUGCAUUUCUUUGUCACUGGCGGUGAUAAUGAAAAUGAGCUUUGGCAUCAGUUCUUCAGGUUUUCUUCGAUGCAGUCACCCUUUUGCUGA
Vicia faba (fava bean) is the source of this 228-nucleotide non-coding RNA. The record is from the annotation of a GenBank genome assembly. NCBI's taxonomy places the organism in Eukaryota, Viridiplantae, Streptophyta, Magnoliopsida, Fabales, Fabaceae.